UCUACGUUAAGGGAAUCGGACAGAGUUAGGAGAUCAAACCGGGAAGGCACAAAAAGGGAACACACUCUGAAAAACUCUCAAACAACAGGUUAGGAGAGGGUGUCGGAUCACCUGGAAGUCUUUCCAUGAUGACCAAUGACAGGGUUGUGAACUGAAGGUGAAGUGUAGAACAUGACGUACACAAGUGCCUACUGUGUGGUGCCAACUCUAGACAAGAACACACAACAGCCUGGGUGAGCUACACCAGGACACACAGGACAGUCACAGUGUCAGCUACACAUGCCUCCUCCUCCGUCCUGGGCAACAUGCUGCAGGAUAUGGUCCAGGGGAGAUUGUGGAAGUCAUUACAUUGCAAAAUACACAAUUCUACUUUCAUUUUGUUUCAUGCAAAAAUAGUUUGAAAAAGUUCUUAAAGUUUAACGUAGAUUUCAAAUUGAGUAUUUUGGGAUUGGAAUUGUUAUGGGUAGCAUAUCCAGAGCAGCAGCUGCAACAUCCUCUAAACACUGAUAACAUGUGUGGACAUUGUUCAUUUCCUGUUUCAUACAUAUCAUUCUUGGAUCAGGAUUGGAAAUUGUUAUGGACAUAUUAACAGUCAUUAUGUUUGACAUGUUGUACGACAAUAAUAAAAUGUUAUCUACAGCCAGGAUACAUGGUUCAUGCGUAUUGUGUAUAAAUUGUUACAUGUGUGUUCAUUUGAAG
Haliotis rufescens (red abalone) is the source of this 699-nucleotide long non-coding RNA. RefSeq lists it as uncharacterized. The transcript is spliced from 2 exons. The record is from RefSeq and is a predicted model, not a curated record. NCBI's taxonomy places the organism in Eukaryota, Metazoa, Mollusca, Gastropoda, Lepetellida, Haliotidae.